CCUACGGGAGGCAGCAGUGAGGAAUAUUGGUCAAUGGGCGCGAGCCUGAACCAGCCAAGUAGCGUGAAGGAAGACUGCCCUACGGGUUGUAAACUUCUUUUGUAAAGGAAUAAAGUGUGACACGUGUACCUUUUUGGAUUUACUUUAUGAAUAAGGAUCGGCUAACUCCGUUCCAGCAGCCGCGGUAAUACGGAGGAUCCGAGCGUUAUCCGGAUUUAUUGGGUUUAAAGGGAGCGUAGGUGGGUUGUUAAGUCAGUUGUGAAAGUUUGCGGCUCAACCGGAAAACUGCAAUUGAGACUGGCAGUCUUGAGUCUAGUAGAGGGAGGCGGAAUUCGUGGUGUAGCGGUGAAAUGCGUAGAGAUCACGAAGAACACCGAUGGCGAAGGCAGCUUACUAAAC
This 399-nucleotide ribosomal RNA is filed under the name uncultured bacterium. RNAcentral describes it as "partial 16S ribosomal RNA". It matches the Rfam family "Bacterial small subunit ribosomal RNA", at positions 338 to 734 of the family's 1533-position model. The record is from RNAcentral.